GGGAGUUUAGCUCAGUCGGUUAGAGCACUGUGUUGAUAACGCAGGGGUCCUAGGUUCGAGUCCUAGAAUUCCCA
Molecule: transfer RNA, 74 nt
Filed under: Lactovum miscens
Lineage: Bacteria; Bacillati; Bacillota; Bacilli; Lactobacillales; Streptococcaceae
Rfam family: tRNA
About the family: Transfer RNA (tRNA) molecules are approximately 80 nucleotides in length. Their secondary structure includes four short double-helical elements and three loops (D, anti-codon, and T loops).
Source: Rfam by way of RNAcentral